Camarhynchus parvulus is the source of this 179-nucleotide long non-coding RNA. RefSeq lists it as uncharacterized. The transcript is spliced from 3 exons. NCBI's taxonomy places the organism in Eukaryota, Metazoa, Chordata, Aves, Passeriformes, Thraupidae. The record is from RefSeq and is a predicted model, not a curated record.
GAAGGCCCUGCAGCGCCUGGUGAGUGGCGCCUUCACCUGGGGACAAGGUGUCCCCUGGGUGUCCCCAGACCCCCCCCUGAAGCCCCCCCGGCAGCGCUGGUGUUGGGGACCCCGGCCCGAGGGCCGCCCGGUUUGGGAGCCCAUGGGGGGCCCGGGGGGGGCCCUGGAGCAGCUGCAGC